GACAGAGGUUGCAAACGUUGUUCGGAAUUACUGGGCGUAAAGCGCGUGUAGGCAGCUUGGCAAGUCGGGUGUGAAAGCCCUGGGCUCAACCUAGGAAGUGCACUCGAAACUGCUUCGCUUGAGUAUCGGAGAGGAAAGCGGAAUUCUCGGUGUAGAGGUGAAAUUCGUAGAUAUCGAGAGGAACACCAGUGGCGAAGGCGGCUUUCUGGACGAUCACUGACGCUGAGACGCGAAAGCGUGGGGAGCAAACAGG
This 253-nucleotide ribosomal RNA is filed under the name uncultured bacterium. Its description in RNAcentral is "partial 16S ribosomal RNA". It matches the Rfam family "Bacterial small subunit ribosomal RNA", at positions 524 to 776 of the family's 1533-position model. The record is from RNAcentral.